RNAcentral lists this long non-coding RNA (199 nucleotides) under Panax ginseng (ginseng). RNAcentral's name for it is "long non-coding RNA (PGIN_LNC010354)". Lineage: Eukaryota; Viridiplantae; Streptophyta; Magnoliopsida; Apiales; Araliaceae. The record is from RNAcentral.
UGGCCAAAAACCCAAACACACCCCCACGCAAAAUCACACCGAGUGCCUCCUCGAUAUGCCCUCUGACGAACGGACCCGAAUCUUUUGCGUCAAAAAGAGGAAAACCCAAGCAAAUUCUCCGGCCUCCGAAGGACCACAAGUACCUCUAACAGAAACCGAUCCUCCGCCAACCUCCCUGGUUGAAAUCGUUGUUUCUAAC